CAGCCGCGGUAAUACGUAGGGCGCGAGCGUUNUCCGGAAUUAUUGGGCGUAAAGAGCUUGUAGGCGGUUGGUCGCNUCUGCUGUGAAAGGCCGGGGCUUAACUCCGGUUUUGCAGUGGNUACGGGCUAACUAGAGUGCAGUAGGGGAGACUGGAAUUCCUGGUGUAGCGGUGGAAUGCACAGAUAUCAGGAGGAACACCGAUGGCGAAGGCAGGUCUCUGGGCUGUAACUGACGCUGAGAAGCGAAAGCAUGGGGAGCGAACAGGAUUAGAUACCCUGGUAGUCCAUGCCGUAAACGUUGGGCACUAGGUGUGGGGGACAUUCCACGUUUUCCGCGCCGUAGCUAACGCAUUAAGUGCCCCGCCUGGGGAGUACGGCCGCAAGGCUAAAACUCAAAGGAAUUGACGGGGGCCCGCACAAGCGGCGGAGCAUGCGGAUUAAUUCGAUGCAACGCGAAGAACCUUACCAAGGCUUGACAUGCAUUAGAUCGCGUCAGAGAUGGCGUUUCCCUUCGGGGCUGGUGUACAGGUGGUGCAUGGUUGUCGUCAGUUCGUGUCGUGAGAUGUUGGGUUAAGUCCCGCAACGAGCGCAACCCUCGUUCUAUGUUGCCAGCGGUUCGGCCGGGGACUCAUAGGAGACUGCCGGGGUCAACUCGGAGGAAGGUGGGGAUGACGUCAAAUCAUCAUGCCCCUUAUGUCUUGGGCUUCACGCAUGCUACAAUGGCCGGUACAGAGGGUUGCGAUACUGUGAGGUGGAGCUAAUCCCUUAAAGCCGGUCUCAGUUCGGAUUGGGGUCUGCAACUCGACCCCAUGAAGUCGGAGUCGCUAGUAAUCGCAGAUCAGCAACGCUGCGGUGAAUACGUUCCCGGGCCUUGUACACACCGCCCGUCAAGUCACGAAAGUUGGUAACACCCGAAGCCGGUGGCCAACCGCAAG
This 934-nucleotide ribosomal RNA is filed under the name uncultured bacterium. RNAcentral's name for it is "bacterial SSU rRNA". It matches the Rfam family "Bacterial small subunit ribosomal RNA", at positions 512 to 1445 of the family's 1533-position model. The record is from RNAcentral.